GAUGAACGCUGGCGGCGUGCCUAAUACAUGCAAGUCGAGCGAACGGACGAGAAGCUUGCUUCUCUGAUGUUAGCGGCGGACGGGUGAGUAACACGUGGAUAACCUACCUAUAAGACUGGGAUAACUUCGGGAAACCGGAGCUAAUACCGGAUAAUAUUUUGAACCGCAUGGUUCAAAAGUGAAAGACGGUCUUGCUGUCACUUAUAGAUGGAUCCGCGCUGCAUUAGCUAGUUGGUAAGGUAACGGCUUACCAAGGCAACUAUGCAUAGCCGACCUGAGAGGGUGAUCGGCCACACUGGAACUGAGACACGGUCCAGACUCCUACGGGAGGCAGCAGUAGGGAAUCUUCCGCAAUGGGCGAAAGCCUGACGGAGCAACGCCGCGUGAGUGAUGAAGGUCUUCGGAUCGUAAAACUCUGUUAUUAGGGAAGAACAUAUGUGUAAGUAACUGUGCACAUCUUGACGGUACCUAAUCAGAAAGCCACGGCUAACUACGUG
RNAcentral lists this ribosomal RNA (497 nucleotides) under uncultured bacterium. RNAcentral describes it as "partial 16S ribosomal RNA". It matches the Rfam family "Bacterial small subunit ribosomal RNA", at positions 28 to 507 of the family's 1533-position model. The record is from RNAcentral.